RNAcentral lists this ribosomal RNA (492 nucleotides) under uncultured bacterium. RNAcentral describes it as "partial 16S ribosomal RNA". It matches the Rfam family "Bacterial small subunit ribosomal RNA", at positions 29 to 507 of the family's 1533-position model. The record is from RNAcentral.
AGUGAACGCUGGCGGUAGGCCUAACACAUGCAAGUCGAACGGCAGCACAGUAAGAGCUUGCUCUUACGGGUGGCGAGUGGCGGACGGGUGAGGAAUACAUCGGAAUCUACUUUUUCGUGGGGGAUAACGUAGGGAAACUUACGCUAAUACCGCAUACGACCUACGGGUGAAAGCAGGGGAUCUUCGGACCUUGCGCGAUUGAAUGAGCCGAUGUCGGAUUAGCUAGUUGGCGGGGUAAAGGCCCACCAAGGCGACGAUCCGUAGCUGGUCUGAGAGGAUGAUCCGCCACACCUGAACUUGGACACCGUCCCGACUCCUACGGGAGGCAGCAGUGGGGAAUAUUGGACAAUGGGCGCAAGCCUGAUCCAGCCAUACCGCGUGGGUGAAGAAGGCCUUCGGGUUGUAAAGCCCUUUUGUUGGGAAAGAAAAGCAGCAGGUUAAUACCCCGCUGUUCUGACGGUACCCAAAGAAUAAGCACCGGCUAACUUCGUG